Molecule: transfer RNA, 65 nt
Filed under: Dipodomys ordii (Ord's kangaroo rat)
Lineage: Eukaryota; Metazoa; Chordata; Mammalia; Rodentia; Heteromyidae
Rfam family: tRNA
About the family: Transfer RNA (tRNA) molecules are approximately 80 nucleotides in length. Their secondary structure includes four short double-helical elements and three loops (D, anti-codon, and T loops). Further hydrogen bonds mediate the characteristic L-shaped molecular structure. tRNAs have two regions of fundamental functional importance: the anti-codon, which is responsible for specific mRNA codon recognition, and the 3' end, to which the tRNAs corresponding amino acid is attached (by aminoacyl-tRNA synthetases). tRNAs cope with the degeneracy of the genetic code in two manners: having more than one tRNA (with a specific anti-codon) for a particular amino acid; and 'wobble' base-pairing, i.e. permitting non-standard base-pairing at the 3rd anti-codon position.
Source: Rfam by way of RNAcentral
GGUGGCUCAGUGGUCGAGCGCUUGCCUUGCAUGCAAGAGGCCCUGGGUUCGAUUCCUCAGCACCA